UAGAAGAAGAAGACGCUGGAGAGAGGGCUUUCCUGUCAGUAGCCCUCACUAGAAGUCCUGAAAGGACACCUGACUUUUCACAAAUGGAGACCUCCAUACCUACCCAGAAAUUCCAACUGAUUUACAAACUGUUUAUGUUGGAGAGUGCCCGAAACACUAUCGAAGAGGAACUUUACUUCUUACUCCAAAAGAAAUUAAGAUGUUAUGUGCUCUGAAAAAGGAACAAAGAAAAUACAUCAUCUGUAGCAGUUGUAAACCUUUAAAAGCUUCGAAGUUUCUAUAUUGAUACAGGAAUGUAUCAAUAGCCCCUGGUUCUAUGGGUUUCUGAUGAGGUUCAGGAGUUAUUUCACUCAACUUUGCCUAACAGUGUGCUCACUAAUCUUUCUAAAGCACUGGACGUGAAAUAUUCUGUGUUAAAGAACUUUUCAACUCUACUGAGAGACUUAACAACAGAGGGUGAUAAGAAAGCUUCUGACAGCGUGGAAAAUAGGACGUCAAUUGUGGUGGAGGUGAAGCGUCUGGACUACGGUGAUGCUGUCUGUCUGUCUUUGCAGAAUAUUAAACAGCUCACACCUGAAAUGACUGUUCUGCCUCUUCAAGCUGUGCAGGUGUCACUGGCUAAUGUGGUGCCUGUGACUGGGAAUCACUGGUCUCAGCAGUCUGUGAGCUGGUUCAGAGCGCUAGUGCAUAACAGGACACUGUACGCCCGGCUGUACCCACACGGGAACAAUAUAGCAGUGGAGCUGUACCUAGAGAGAGGGAAGCUGGGAGCUAUGAGGUGCAUGCAUUUAAAACAAGGGAAAUGUUGAAUGUAGGGAUUCAUUAACACUGCUUAUCUCUUUAUCGGUGCUUUGAGUUGUUGUGUAUUCAGAUGUGAAGUGUUAGUAACCCAAUAGUCUAUUUAGAGAAUGGUUCAUUCAGUCACUGCAGAGAUGCCAAAUACAAGGCCAGGGUUCAUCUGGUACUGGUGAAGAUAAAAUAAGCACUGCAUGAAACUGUAUUGAAAAGAGAACAACCUUUUUAGUUCUAUUCUGCAUUAUAUAAAGAGCUUUAGCUGAAAACAUUUCAGAAACAAAACUAAUGACUUCAUAUUUUUGAAUAAAAUGUUAUGAAGUUGAGCA
RNAcentral lists this long non-coding RNA (1121 nucleotides) under Gouania willdenowi (blunt-snouted clingfish). Its description in RNAcentral is "lncRNA (ENSGWIG00000013968.1)". The record is from RNAcentral. Lineage: Eukaryota; Metazoa; Chordata; Actinopteri; Blenniiformes; Gobiesocidae.